RNAcentral lists this ribosomal RNA (614 nucleotides) under uncultured archaeon. RNAcentral's name for it is "bacterial SSU rRNA". It matches the Rfam family "Archaeal small subunit ribosomal RNA", at positions 45 to 662 of the family's 1478-position model. The record is from RNAcentral.
UAAGCCAUGCGAGUCAAUAGUUCUUCGUGAACUAGGCGGACGACUCAGUAACACGUGGGUAAUCUACCCUCAGGACAGGGAUAACCCCGGGAAACUGGGGAUAAUACCUGAUAGGUGGAGAGGUCUGGAAUGAUCCUCCGCCCAAAGCUCCGGCGCCUGAGGAUGAGCCUGCGGCCGAUUAGGUUGUUGGCGCUGUAACGGACCACCAAGCCUGAGAUCGGUACGGGCACUGAGAGGUGGAGCCCGGAGAUGGGGGCUGAGAAACGGCCCCAGGCCCUACGGGGCGCAGCAGGCGCGAAAACUCCGCAAUACGCGAAAGCGUGACGGGGGGACCCCAAGUGUCAUGCCUUCGGGUAUGACUUUUGCAGAGUGUAAACAGCUCUGCGAAUAAGAGCUGGGUAAGACCGGUGCCAGCCGCCGCGGUAACACCGGCAGCUCAAGUGGUGGCCACUAUUAUUGGGCCUAAAGCGUCCGUAGCCUGCUCGGUAAGUCCUUGGGAAAAUCCGCUCGUUCCACGAACGGGACCCUGAGGAUACUGCCGAACUUGGGAACGAGAGAAGUCGGAAGUACUCCUGGGGUAGCGGUGAAAUGCUGUAAUCCUGGGGGGACUACCA